AGAAUCAACGCUGGCGGCGUGCCUAAUACAUGCAAGUCGAACGCGAAAGUCCCGCAAGGGGCAAGUAGAGUGGCAAACGGGUGAGUAACGCGUGGGCGACCUACCUUCGAGUGGGGGAUAACCUUCCGAAAGGAGGGCUAAUACCGCAUGACAUUCUAUGUUUAGAUACAUGGAAAUCAAAGCUGGGGAUCGCAAGACCUGGCGCUUGGAGAGGGGCCUGCGUCCGAUUAGCUAGUUGGUGGGGUAAUGGCCCACCAAGGCUUCGAUCGGUA
Molecule: ribosomal RNA, 272 nt
Filed under: uncultured bacterium
Lineage: Bacteria
Description: partial small subunit ribosomal RNA
Rfam family: Bacterial small subunit ribosomal RNA
Source: RNAcentral